AUCGACCGCGCGACCUGAACAAACCUCCAGGUGACUCCAGCUGAGGCCCCAGACAAGCCCAAACUCCCAGCCCACAGAAUCUAGUGGCGUUUCUGAAGGCACCUGCUUCAUGGGAUUGUUGAAGAGCACCUGAGCCCCGGGGCACAGAGGCCCUCACGUGGUCGGCAUUAUUCACCAGCCAGCACCUUUCAAGCUUUUGAUUAUGGAGCUACCUACAGCAGGAUUAUAAUAAAAGGGGCAUAAAGUCCUGAACAUAAGGGAACCUCAGUCCAUUUUUCCCAUCCUGUGGCAAUAAAGAUCUAAUUGUAGGAGACCCAUUUUCAGGCCAUUUUUCUUUGUCAUUGGAUCAUAGCUAUAGGUCCACCAGUCAUUCAAAAUUUUCCCUAAGUGUUCCCAGGUGGGUGGAACCUUAGAGGAAGUGCUUCCCAUUUUGGCUCGAGCAGUUGGUAACAGACGUUUGAUAUUAGCACGCUCAAAUCAAAACAUAAACCUUCACCUCAUCAGCUGGAAGUCACACAUAAAACAUAAACCAUAAAAGGAAACAGCAAAGGGAUGCUCAAAAAAGAAAAAGAGAAACAUAUGGCGGAGACCCGCCCAAACGUGAUUUCCGAGUCCCACUCGACCUGGACCGUUGCCCCAAAGCGGCGUCUUACAUCAGAAUCUCCCUUUGCAGGGAGCAUUCCACAUCAGGAUUUCCCUUUGCAGAGAAAUCCUCAAAUUGGUACCGAAGUUCCCCUUAAGGGGACCGUCAAAGGUCACGGAGUGCAGUCCGGGAGACUCACCGUAGGUGCUG
This is a long non-coding RNA of Balaenoptera musculus (blue whale), 793 nucleotides long. RefSeq lists it as uncharacterized. Lineage: Eukaryota; Metazoa; Chordata; Mammalia; Artiodactyla; Balaenopteridae. The transcript has 3 exons. The record is from RefSeq and is a predicted model, not a curated record.